Molecule: transfer RNA, 69 nt
Filed under: Carbrunneria paramaxi
Lineage: Eukaryota; Metazoa; Arthropoda; Insecta; Blattodea; Blattellidae
Description: tRNA-Cys
Source: RNAcentral
AGCUUUAUAUUCAUUUAGUGAUAGUAGAAUGCAAUUCUGAAGGAGUAAGUUUAAAAUUUACUAAGGCUU